CUGAAACAAACAAAUUCUUAAACUAACUGCUUCUAAUGGAAGAAAUGAGAAAAACAUGGAUCAUCUUAAACUGUCAUAUUCAUGCAGUUACAAAAUUAUAUUUCCAUCAUUCCAUGUCAUUAUAUUAAAUGAAGAAAAUACCAGAAUCUUAGGCUUUUUGUCCUUUUCUAUAGAAUAGAAUAAGAAACUAGAUAAUGGAGAGUUCACAAAAUAUUAGCCAACUACACAAAAGAUAGUGAUGUCCCACAAAAAUCUGAACAUAAUCGGUCCCCAACAUCAGAGACAUUGACCAGAAUCCAGGAUUUUCAGGCCUAUCUCGUGUUUCUGUAACUAAAGAGAGGAAAUAAUCAACAAGAGAUCCCAUGUCUAUUCAGAGCACAAACUGGUUAAAGAUUAUGAACAGUAGCUACAGAAAGAGGUGAAUAAAUGAAUGCGACUACUUUUUCUUUUUCUUUCCCCCCCUCUAUCUUACAUUUCUUGUAAAUAAGAGUUGUAUUUUACAAAACAAAAUUGUGGUGGAGCUGCAAAGGCCACAGCUAGUUUCUCUUACAUUCUCGAUUAGAAAGAUCUUAGCUUUAAGCAAAUAAAAUAAAAUUGCACAAGCUUAUACAUCAACCUUUUCCAAGCAACCCCACUCAGUUCCCUGUAUGAAAAUUUCCAUUUUGAAUGAAUUAAUGGUACCGCAUGCAGAAGUAAAACCUGCCCCUCCGAUCAUAGCUUUUCUUGGGACGUGCCAGAACUACAUGAUAGAUCAUUUCCAUUCAGCAAUGUUACAAAACUGAGGCAGUCAAAAGAAUGUAGACUGCAAUAUAGCAGAAAUCAGAAGAAUGCAGCAUCAAGAUCAUCAAAUAAUUAGACCAAGCUUCGAAUGUUGCUAUUCCAAACCCCCAGUUGUACUGUGUUGGAUGGUCCACCACAUCUGACGAACAAAAUGUAAACCACAGUCCACAAAAUGACCUAUCAGUAUGGAAUUACAUAUGGCAGAGCACAGACAUCAGCUGAUUCAAUCUGCAAAGCUUCUGACCAUACAUGGGGUGCCUCAUCAACCCCAAAAGAACCCAUCUUGGGCUUCUUUGAUUGAGAAUCUCUACCUUGAAAAAGCCACUCUUGGUCGUCAAAAUCACACCACUCUUCAAUUUUGGGCACUGUAAGCACCUCAGUUAGAUACUUGGUAUCAGGAUGGGGUUGUUUCCUAAACACUUUAGCUAUUUGAUCAGCCUGUGCGGUCGUGAGCAAAGACUUUGCUGUAGGAAUGGACAGUGGCUGUGUUGCUGAGGCGAUAGAUAAUGCCUGAGCUUCUAUUACACCAUUUAUCUUGCAUUCUUUACCAUCAACCUUAAGAUUAUUGACCGCCCUAUGCCUAUCAGAUAUCAAUGGAAUAGAAGUUUGAGGAGUUUCCAAUAUCUUUCCAUUUUCCAUCAAUGGAUGAGAGGAAGUAGGUCUUGGCAUCUUACUGGGCUUAAUGUCAUUAGCAUUAAAGAAUCCGUUUGUGUCCGAGUCCUUUCGUUUCCUUGGAUUUCCCUCAGUGACACCACUCUUAGUGUUCUCCUUGGGAAGAUGAGAAGCUUUUGCAUUAUGGAUAGCUGUAUGGUCUACCUUGUUGUUUUCUUUUAAUUUAUCCAGCUCUGGAAUUUUAUGUUCAUUUUUCUUCUUUGCUUUCUCCUCCUUUUUCUUUUCUUUGUCCUUCCCUUGGCCUCCUUUCCCCUUAUCUUUAUCCUUCUGUUUAUCGCCAUGUCGAUCAUCACCUUCUUUUUGUUUGUUUGUUUCUUUCCCUUCAAUCCUUUUCUCAAAAUCUUUCUCCAGUCGUAUUGGUGUUUUAUCAAUUUUAGUCUGAACAGUUCCAGGAAGGAUAGAAGCUAUUGCCUUUCCAGAAAAUCUUGACUCAUCCCUGAUUCCUUGCUCAUCCAACUUCCUAUCAUCACCCCUCUUGUUCUUUUCCUUGCUAUCGGCCAAAGUCCCAGUAGUGUUAGCCACAAAUCUGACCAUUCGCUCAUCCUUUCUAGCAUCCGCACUAAUGAUGUUCUCACCCAACUGUUUUCCGAUUCCUCCGACUUCAUCUCUUGUCCUCCUGCUCACCUCAUGUACAAAAUUAGACUCCUUUGGUUGCUCAGUGAGAUGGCUGUUCUGAGAGGCCCUCUCACUGUAACCUGAAAAUUGCCCAGAAAAUUUCUUUUCAUCUGAGAUACUUUUUCUGUCUAAGUCUCUUUCCUUUCCCUUUUGGAUGAAUAUUUCUCCACUAUUAAUCUCAGAUUUCCCAGAAAUUUUCUUCUCAUCUGGGGUUUUAUCUCCAAUGUUACGUUCAGAUUGCCCUGGAAGUCUCUUCACAUCUGGGGCACUAAUUUUGUCUUUAUCCUUAUCUCUGUCCCUCUCCUUUUUGCCUCUGUGCUUAUCCUUUUUCUCUUUCUUAUCCCUAAGCUUUCCAUCACUUCUAUCUUUUUCCCUUUUUUCUUUAUCUUUACCUUCUCUCUUUUCUUUGUUCUUCUUCUCCUUCUUAUGCUUCUUCUCUCUGUCCUUUUCCUGAAAGUCAUGGAAAGCAAACCAUUCAACUGAAGAGCCAAACAUGAUGGAAUCUCAGCAGUAUAUUACAAUGCAUCAAGCAGGUAUAUCACAUACCAUAUUAAAUUUAAACUCAUAAAUUUCUACCCAAAGUUUAAUUUAAAAAAUUGAACAACUUACGUUCAAAUUUUUUUCAAAUUUUUUACUAAAAAUAGGGCAUUUUAGUAUCCAUUACACAUGCAAGUAAACUGAUUUGCAGAAAAUUUUUCAUAAAUCCAAAACUGGUCACACACACAACCCAAGAUAUGCUAAUGUCAGACACCAAAGGAUCACCUUCGUUGGAUCAAGCAUCAGGCCAGAGUUAAAUUUGAUCUCAUAUUCAAUUUGGGAUUGUAAAGAGAUUCCUUUCAGAUAAUUGAGAAUAAAUGAAUGCUGUUUGUAAAGAGCAUUCAUUACAAAAUCAUAUAACUGUGCGAAUUGAAACCAUCAUAUAAUGUCAAGAAGUGCCCAUGGAUUUUGUUGGAUGUUGCUUAUGGACCUCAUUAUGGCUACAAUGGAAAAGAACCAAAUCCAUAUGCAAAAUACAUCGUCCUUCUUAUCCCAAACAAACAAGCUGAAAAAGAAUGCUUUCCGAUUUCUUGAGAAAGUAUCAAAGUUGAAAGCGAAGUACCUGAGCUCAAACUUGAUUUUUCAAAUUAAAAAGUUCAGCAAUCAUUCACCAUGUUACAAUUUUAGGUACACCCCAAAAUGACUCACAUAGAAUUCCUGAAGAAGCCAAAUAUGAAGCCAAAGAAGACAUUUUGGUUAAGUAAUCUUAACUUAAAGAGAUGAGGGGAACCAGCCAGAAACAUAGAAAAUAAGAGGAAGGGAUUCUAGUUAUCAAGACACUAAACAUGUUGAUUUCGGUGUUGCUCAGAUCAAUUUUGUUAUACCCAGUGUUACUAUAAAUCACUGAACCCCUAGCAAUUAGCAAAUAUGAAUGCUAAAGUUAACAUUCAAUUUUACAAACUUUUAGAGCUUUUAUCCCUAUUUAGGAUUGUGCAAACAACCAUAACUUAGUUGUGAUAAGGCCACAACCAUGGGCAUGAAGUCUGAGACAUUUCCACGUGCAAAGUUUAAAAAAUUUUCCCUCAUCUUCGCUUUACUUUUUGCAAACAAUUUCAUACAAAAUAGAUCUCAAUCUAUGUCCCAAAACCUUAGAAUCUCCCUUUCAAAACUCUAAUUUACCUCACAAUCAAUGACAAUAGAAGAACCAUAAAAGCCCUAAUUAGCAUUCAUAAGUAUCAUUCCCCAAAACUCAAUUGCUCGUUACUCUCAAGUUGUUCCUAUCAUAGAUAGCUCCUUAGAAGAACUAGCAAAUUGAAAAAUUAAAUUCAUGACUCUAAGGAAAAUGAGUUGACCCCUUCAUAAUAACAAGAACAACAGUGAAAAGUUAAUAAACAUGGCAAGUAGCAAAAUGACAGAGCUGCAAAUGAUAAAGCAAUCAAAUCUGUGGAUAAUAAAAGCCUAAUUUAUGCAUGACAUUACCAAAUAUAAUUCUAAACUUGGUUUUAAGAAACUACAUAUCUUCAAAGAACAAGUUACUGAUGCCCUAACUCCUAAGUGAACACUCCAAAAUCGGGCUGCCCACAUACGAGGCAUUAAACACCAAAUUCCAAUAUGAUAACUCGGCAGAUAAAUGUCAAAAUUAUAGAUAAGAAAGACGAUAAAGUCAUGAAUCACUCAAUGUAAGAUAAGAGCCUAGUCCUGCCUAUCUAAAGCAAGGAACAAGAAUAUCAUGUUGUCAUCUCAGCCCACCAUUAUCUCUGACAGUGUCCAAACUCCCAGUUUAACUCUUCGUUCCCAUACAAUUAAAACCUUGUCUGUUCUUCAAACAGAACCUAUGAAUAUGAAUGCAGUUGAAUCAGCAAGAAAAAAACCACUUUUGUACUCUCAGUUAAAGCUAUUGCCUAAGCAAUAAUGCAUGUAAUUGAAUUUAGGACACAACAGUAGAGAUUUUCAGAGGAUAGUUAGCAUGUAAUGGAAGUCACAAACUGAAUGGGGUCGUUUGUUUCAAUCCAAUGCACAUUAAAACAGAAUUUCUUUCCCUAACGAUAAAAAAAUCCAUGCCAAUAUAUAACAAUACAAAAAAUAAGGUGAGCAUUUUAACCUUUUUUAGCAAGUCCACAUCAUCUCUCAUAACCUUUUCAUAUCCUGGUGGCGGAAAUGGAAAGCAACGCGACAUUGCACAGAAUCUCAGAAUACAAAACUCGAGCAACUUCCCCAAAAGAAAAUGCUUGUAUUACUUUCCAGUAGCACUGUUCCAAAAAGGGAACGGACCAGUAACUAUGCUCCUGCCCAUGCACCAUGUCCCCGCAUUCAUUUCCUGCAUCAAAACUGCUCCAUGAGCUUCUCGAUCCCUCCCAACAACAAAGAUACCAAAAUCCACCAACCCUUUAGUAUACUUCACCAAAAUGCACACAGGGUAAAGCAAAAUUCAUUGAGAAACACGUUAAUAUCAAAGGUCACCACUACUUCCACUAAAUCAAACCUACUAUAAUAUUACUACACUGCAAUAGUUCAAGAAAAGCACGAUUAGAAAAGUAACUUUCAUGAGAAACGAAAUUGGUCCACUACAAUCUGAUCUUCUAUGUUGCUUUCUGGGCCAAUACAGAACAAUCACCUUCCUUUCCUUAUAACCAAUAACAAAUACCCAAAUCAUCCCCUAGUUGAAGAUCGAAACACACAAAGCAGCAAGAACCCUUAUCCAUAACAGAAUACCCAAUUCUUGGUUACUGUCACACUAUCCAA
This 5286-nucleotide unclassified non-coding RNA is filed under the name Hevea brasiliensis (rubber tree). Lineage: Eukaryota; Viridiplantae; Streptophyta; Magnoliopsida; Malpighiales; Euphorbiaceae. The record is from RNAcentral.